Non-coding RNA from Acanthosepion pharaonis, 109 nucleotides. The record is from the annotation of a GenBank genome assembly. Lineage: Eukaryota; Metazoa; Mollusca; Cephalopoda; Sepiida; Sepiidae.
UUACGACAAUAUCAAGAUGAAACACCGGUUCCCGUACGGCCACCGAAGUUAAGCAACGUCGAUCCUGGUCAGUACCUAGAUGGGUGACCGCUUAGAAAUGUUAUGAGCU